Non-coding RNA from Pelobates cultripes (western spadefoot toad), 206 nucleotides. Lineage: Eukaryota; Metazoa; Chordata; Amphibia; Anura; Pelobatidae. The record is from the annotation of a GenBank genome assembly.
AAAUGGCUGAUCUCACCAAAAAAUGAGGAAGGGAUACCUAGCGAAGACAUGAAUGCACACCAGGGCAUAUCAUUAAAAGAGCACUGAUAAAGCUCUGUCUGAUUGGCCUUAGAGCCCUUAGCAGAGUGCAAGAACGUCUAAUGAUGUACUUGUGCUGUACUACUGGCUGGAGCUGUUCCCUGGCAUACCCAAAUACGAGACCCAGG